This 850-nucleotide long non-coding RNA is filed under the name Equus caballus (horse). RNAcentral describes it as "lncRNA (ENSECAG00000040338.3)". Lineage: Eukaryota; Metazoa; Chordata; Mammalia; Perissodactyla; Equidae. The record is from RNAcentral.
AUUUCUCCAAUAAUGUUCUUCAGAUCAAAAAGCUCCAUGUGGUAGGCAGAAAUUUGCGCCCCCACCCGCCAAAACCCCUGCUGUCAAAGCUGUUCCAUCCUAAUGGUAAGAACCUGUGAAUAUGUUUCCUUACAUUGCAAACUGUGAUUAAGGUUAGGGACCUUGAAGUGAGAAGAGUAACCUGAAUUACCCAGGUGAGCCCAAUUUAAUCACAUUAAUUCUUAAAAGUGGAAAAGUUUUUCCAGCUGUGGUCAGAGAGACUCAAGAUGGCAGGCAGAGGAUUCCACUUUGACCACGCCCAGUGGUUGCUGGUUCUGAGAUGCAGGGGGCUGUGUGCAAGGAACUGAAUUCUGCCAACAACCUGAAUGAACGAGGCAUUGGAUCCUUGUCUAGAGCCUUCAGAAAGGGACACAGCAGUGCCAUCACCUUGAUGUUGGCUGGGACACAGCUCCACUGGCUCGCGGAGUCCAUCGUUGUGGGCACUGUCUUAGACCCGUCUGAUUUCCUUCCUAUGUGGACAAGGCUCCAGAGAAACAAGAGGGACCCAACCAGCGACACUGCUUGCAAGAUAGCUACUUCAUCCCAGCUAAAAUCAGCUCUAACUGCAUUAAAGUGACCUGCCCUCAUUAACAUCUCAAAUUCUGCACAUGUGCACAUGCUACUACAUGCGCCUUAAGAGAACAUGACUACUGGGCAAUAAAGCCAAAUCUCCUGCCUUUCCCUUAACUGAAUAUUCACUAACCGUACUCUGAUAAAAGGACCCCUCAAACCCUUGCUCUGGGAGACACCACUUUGGAAAAUAUCCCUGGUAUUUUCUACUGCUUUUGCAGGUAAUAAACGUUUCUUCACC